Molecule: long non-coding RNA, 936 nt
Organism: Haemorhous mexicanus (house finch)
Lineage: Eukaryota; Metazoa; Chordata; Aves; Passeriformes; Fringillidae
Exons: 2
Source: RefSeq, a predicted model, not a curated record
CCUGUCAAGACAAACACUGCUGCUUAAUACAAGCUCUACAGAGAUCCCAAACCACUAUUUUUCUUUAAUCCAGACAUUUUAGAAAAUUAUUGGAAAAAGCAUCUUUUGUGACCCAAACUGCCAAGCCAGUAGGGUGUUUUUGUUUCAGUAGGUUGGUUAUUAUUGGAGGGACAGAAGUAUGUUCUACCAUCAUUAUCCAGAGGACAAUUAUCCAACAGAUUCUGCAACCACUGUGCUAAUUCAAUGCCUCCUCUGGAAUGAGAAUUUGCAGCCAAUCAAUAUGAUCGCCCUGAAGCAGCUGUUUUGUUUGUCAGUCUCAAACAUCUUCAAGAGAACUCUGCUUCUCCUUUCACAUUUCAGUACAAACCUUGCUUUCUUAAACCUCCUAGGUAUUGAGCAGUCCUGUUCCUUUAAGUGCAGCGACCCCCAUCUGCCACUUCAUGCCGCUUCUAAAGGAAGUCAGGAAAUUUAAUUUUCUCUUAAAACUUCAUCAGUUCUGAAUCAAAUGCAUUCUGUGCAGAGAAAACCAAAGGAUUUUGUUUCAUGUCUGGUGUUGAGAUUGUUAAGUGAGGGAACAACCUUUUGAUGGAUAAGUGAAUCCUACUGUGCUUUGCACAGGAGUAACAAAUCUCUCUGUCCACAGGCUGCCCACAGCUUUACAGCAUUGCCACUGGCACCACCUCUCACCUUCAAAAGGCCUGGGAUCUGUGCAGCUCAUGUUCAGCCAGGCAUGGAAUGUGAGAGAACAACAGCAGCAGGGAAAAGAGGAUGCAGCCCAGCGGCUGGCAGCUGCAUCACUCCUGUUAAGCAGCAUGGCAGAUGCUAUCCCCACAGAUUUGCAACUUCAGGUGUCAGUGGGAGGCACAGAGAACAGACUUCUGAAAAGGUUCACAAACAUAAACAAUUCAACAUUCAAAUAAAGAACUUCUCACCAUC